Molecule: small nuclear RNA, 30 nt
Filed under: Arabidopsis thaliana (thale cress)
Lineage: Eukaryota; Viridiplantae; Streptophyta; Magnoliopsida; Brassicales; Brassicaceae
Description: snRNA_06824
Source: RNAcentral
GGUCGAUUAAGACAGCAGGACGGUGGUCAU